RNAcentral lists this ribosomal RNA (403 nucleotides) under Verrucomicrobiota bacterium. RNAcentral describes it as "Verrucomicrobia bacterium partial 16S ribosomal RNA". It matches the Rfam family "Bacterial small subunit ribosomal RNA", at positions 355 to 776 of the family's 1533-position model. The record is from RNAcentral. Lineage: Bacteria; Pseudomonadati; Verrucomicrobiota.
UGGGGAAUAUUACACAAUGGGCGCAAGCCUGAUGCAGCAACGCCGCGUGAACGAUGAAGGUCUUCGGAUCGUAAAGUUCUGUUGCAGGGGAAGAUAAUGACGGUACCCUGUGAGGAAGCCCCGGCUAACUACGUGCCAGCAGCCGCGGUAAUACGUAGGGGGCUAGCGUUAUCCGGAUUUACUGGGCGUAAAGGGUGCGUAGGUGGUCUUUCAAGUCGGUGGUUAAAGGCUACGGCUCAACCGUAGUUAGCCUCCGAAACUGGAAGACUUGAGUGCAGGAGAGGAAAGUGGAAUUCCCAGUGUAGCGGUGAAAUGCGUAGAUAUUGGGAGGAACACCAGUAGCGAAGGCGGCUUUCUGGACUGCAACUGACACUGAGGCACGAAAGCGUGGGUAGCAAACAGG